GCUUAACACAUGCAAGUCGAGCGAGAAUCGUUUAUUGAAGGCUUCGGCUGGAAAUAGAUGAGGAAAGCGGCGAACGGGUGAGUAACGCGUGGGCAACCUGGCCUUAAGAAAAGGAUAGCCCCCGGAAACGGGGAGUAAUACUUUAUGAGAAUGAGAGAGGGCAUCCUACUUUCAUUCAAAGCGCAAGCGCUUAAGGAUGGGCCCGCGUACCAUUAGCUAGUUGGUGAGAUAACAGCCCACCAAGGCAACGAUGAUUAGCCGGUCUGAGAGGGCGAACGGCCACAUUGGAACUGAGAGACGGUCCAAACUCCUACGGGAGGCAGCAGUGGGGAAUAUUACGCAAUGGAGAAGAACUCUGACGCAGCAAUACCGCGUGAGCGAAGAAGGUCUUCGGAUCGUAAAGCUCUGUUAUCAGGGAAGAAGAAAAUGACGGUACCUGAUGAGCAAGUCCCGGCUAACUACGUGCCAGCCGCCGCGGUAA
RNAcentral lists this ribosomal RNA (481 nucleotides) under uncultured bacterium. RNAcentral describes it as "partial 16S ribosomal RNA". It matches the Rfam family "Bacterial small subunit ribosomal RNA", at positions 46 to 523 of the family's 1533-position model. The record is from RNAcentral.